UAUAGCCAAGAAUUAGAGAAAGAGGAAAACAGAAAUAGAGAAGGGAUAAGAUGAGAGAGAAUUAAGAAUGUUUUAUAUUCAGCUAUUAUAUCGUCAACACAACUCCCCUCAUGCUUUUAUACAAUCAACUUGAUUUUAGGAACCGGAUCAAGAAGUAAUAUAGACAAAAAUAAUAUCAGAUUGUUUGGUGGCCAAGAAUUAGAGAGAGAUGGAAACCAAA
This 220-nucleotide unclassified non-coding RNA is filed under the name Hevea brasiliensis (rubber tree). The record is from RNAcentral. Lineage: Eukaryota; Viridiplantae; Streptophyta; Magnoliopsida; Malpighiales; Euphorbiaceae.